Long non-coding RNA from Lacerta agilis (Sand lizard), 839 nucleotides. RefSeq lists it as uncharacterized. NCBI's taxonomy places the organism in Eukaryota, Metazoa, Chordata, Lepidosauria, Squamata, Lacertidae. The transcript has 3 exons. The record is from RefSeq and is a predicted model, not a curated record.
UUGGGAUAGGAUAUCUAUUAACAAAACACUUAAGGAAUUUUUAUAGCUUAUUUUGUCAGUUUAUAAACCAUCUUUCAAUAACAGGGUUCUCAGGCUGGCAUACAAACAAUACAAUAAAUUGUUGUAGAAGCUGCAGCAAAAACCUCUAAGAUCUAGCAGAAAACAAUAAAACUAAAAAAAUUGCUGCAAUUUCUGGUGCCAAAAAGACAUCAAAAUUGGAACCUGUUACACUUCUUGAGAGAGAAUAUUACACAUCAGAGGUACAACAGUGGGACAGCUCUAUAUCCUUUUAUCACCAGCCACACACAACUUAAGGCUUUACAGCAAGGUUGGGGAAGUGGAUCUAGCCAGGAGGAGAGUUCACCCACCUAUCAAUCAUCUAACAACACAGUGAUGUCAGGUGACCCAUUUUUCUGCACAGCCCACAAAGCAACAACAACCAAUCAGCUGCACUGGGCUUUGCAGGUGUGGGUGAUCAGCAGUGCCUGCAAACUUCUUUUUGGCUCAGGUGCACAUAUACCUGCUCUGCACCUGGUGUCAUCAUAUAUAGGUGUAAGGCAGGUGGGUAUGGAGAGGCCUAGCAUGCCUAUUAAGCCCGUAGACCAAAGAUUCUCCACAGAAAGGUAACAAUCUACACUUUGAAUUGUGCUUGGAAAGAGAUCUAAUGCAGCUAUGUAAGCACAGACAACACCAUGGAACAAUUGCAACACUAAAGUUACGCAGUGCUAUAGAUUCCAUGAAGCAAAUAAAGAAACACAGGAUUCCACACCCUCCCCCUGCAUAAUUCUGCAAUUCAAGGUAAAAUGUGCCACAACCAGAAAUUUAUCAUCUGGCUGUCU